ACAUGGUUGGCUCAGUCAGUGGAGCGAGUGACUCUUGAUCUUGGGGUUGUGAGUUCAAGCCCCACAUUGAGUG
This 73-nucleotide transfer RNA is filed under the name Canis lupus familiaris (dog). It matches the Rfam family "tRNA". Rfam says of the family: Transfer RNA (tRNA) molecules are approximately 80 nucleotides in length. Their secondary structure includes four short double-helical elements and three loops (D, anti-codon, and T loops). Lineage: Eukaryota; Metazoa; Chordata; Mammalia; Carnivora; Canidae. The record is from Rfam by way of RNAcentral. RNAcentral also lists the same sequence under 2 other names.